GCCUCUGUAGCUCAGUUGGUUAGAGCGCCGCACCGGAAUCGCGGGACCGUAGGUUCAAUUCCUACCAGAGGAC
Molecule: transfer RNA, 73 nt
Filed under: Paramuricea clavata
Lineage: Eukaryota; Metazoa; Cnidaria; Anthozoa; Malacalcyonacea; Plexauridae
Rfam family: tRNA
About the family: Transfer RNA (tRNA) molecules are approximately 80 nucleotides in length. Their secondary structure includes four short double-helical elements and three loops (D, anti-codon, and T loops).
Source: Rfam by way of RNAcentral